GGCUUUGAAGCAGAAGCUGAAGAUGGGGAAUUGGAAUUGAAUGGAGAUACAGGAGGGUAUGAUUCUUUUGCAUCACAAGACUUCGUCAUAAAAUUUGAAGAAGAAAACAAGAAAUUUGCCAUUGAGGAGGAGGUUGGUCAUGUCUAUGAGAGACUGCAAGCGCUUGAAGCAGAUAGGGAGUUCCUAAAGCAUUGCAUUAGCUCCUUGAGGAAAGGAGAUAAGGGAUUAGUUCUUCUCCAAGAGAUUUUGGAACAUCUUCGUGAUCUGAGAAGUGUGGAACUCCGUCUGAGGACAACGGGAGACAGCGUCCUAUAAUUGCUAUCUAUGCAUCCAAGGCUUCAUAGGUGUUCCGUUCGGGUUAAAACAGCUGCAGAUAUAGGAAGAAUACCAAUGCCAUGGUGUUCUGAUGUUACUUGAUACAGAAGGCAAAUAUAAUUAUGCAGUUUCAACAAUGUCAAGGGGGGAAAUUCCCUGGAUGGAGAGGGAGGCUCCUGGCAAUGGCAUGGUCUGUUUGGUGAUCAUGGUGGACUUCAAAUUCAAGUCUGCCAAUUUUUAUUUUUAUUUUUUUACUGGUUUUGUGUCAAUGUAGGCCCAAAUUUUUUUGUGGGCUGCGCCCAUCAAGACCUUUUGAAGGAAAAAGGGGGAUGAUAAGCCUAUGUGUGUGUAGGAUAGUGAGGUGAAGCCACCCUGUCAAUUGUAUGUUGUGAUGAUAUGAGAAAAGGCCUGGCUUGCAAAGCUGGCAAGAUCCAACACAGAUUCCAGUGCCAGGUACAUAGAGCAUUAGUUUAUUAGACAGUUAGAAUUAAUUAGGACACUUUUUUUUUUCUUUCUGGUAAGUUCUGUUUGUGGGAAAGGAAAAGUAGGGGAUGACUAAUCCCUAUAUCUUUCUCAACUUUUGCAUCAUUUGAUCAUAUGGGAUUUGUUUAUUAUGUUUUGAGGGACAAAGAAGUUGAGUUAGUAGUUGUAUACUACAUGUAUCCAUCUGUAAGUACAUAGAAAAGUGAGUGUGUGUUUAUACUGUCU
Prunus mume (Japanese apricot) is the source of this 1023-nucleotide non-coding RNA. NCBI's taxonomy places the organism in Eukaryota, Viridiplantae, Streptophyta, Magnoliopsida, Rosales, Rosaceae. The record is from RefSeq and is a predicted model, not a curated record.